AAUUAUCUCGAAAGUAAAAGAUCUAAUUUGGUUUAUUAGUUUUUGUGUCAAAAAAAUUUAAGAAGUUAAUUUAGGUGUGAAAUGUUAAUCGUUUUUACUAAUAUCUAGCAACUUUAGAAAUAAAUUUAGUUUAGGCUAUAGAGAAUUUCUUUAAUUUGAAGAAAUUUUUAAAAAGGUCUUAUAUUUUAGGGGAUGAGCUCUAAAAUAAAUUUAUAAGGAAUUACAAGCUUUAAUUUUUUGGUAGGCUUAGAAUUGGCCAUAAGAUAGUGUUUUAAGAUAGAAAUUUAAGCGUGAGAUUUAAUUUUCUUUAGGUUGUAUAAAGUUAAGUAGUAAAUUAAGCAGUAGUUGAAAAUAUGAUAGUAUAAGUAGAUAUUAAAGAUUGAGAAAAAAAUUUGGACUUUUCAUAAAAUAAGAUAGUAAAAAUUGUAAUAGAAGAACUCGGCAAAAAAGAUUUCCGAAUGUUUAACAAAAACAUUUCCUCUUGAAAAAAGGAGGUAAGGCCUGCUCACUGAAAUUUAAAGAGCCGCAGUAUCCUGACUGUGCUAAGGUAGCAUAAUCAUUAGUCUUUUAAUUGGAGACUGGUAUGAAUGGUUAAACGAGAAAUCAGCUUUUUUUGUUAUAAAAAUUGAAUUUAAUUUUUUAGUGAAAAAGCUAAAAUAAGUCAGAAAGACGAGAAGACCCUAUAGAGUUUUAUAUUGAAGAAAACUUUUUUUUAAUAGAUUUAUUUAAAUAAAAUUUUCGAAGAUAUUUUGUUGGGGCGACAUUAAGAUAAAAAAAACUCUUUAUUUUUUAAACUUUAUUGAAAGAWUUAGUUUGAUCCUUUAAAAAAGAUCAUAAGAAAAAAUUACCUUAGGGAUAAACAGCGUAAUCUUUUUUGAGAGUUCUAAUCGAACAAAAAGGUUUGCGACCUCGAUGUUGGACUAAAAUUUAGACA
Molecule: ribosomal RNA, 934 nt
Filed under: Yamaguchiella vitiata
Lineage: Eukaryota; Metazoa; Arthropoda; Thecostraca; Balanomorpha; Tetraclitidae
Description: partial 16S ribosomal RNA
Rfam family: Archaeal large subunit ribosomal RNA (bases 450-605)
Source: RNAcentral